RNAcentral lists this long non-coding RNA (284 nucleotides) under Brassica napus (rape). Its description in RNAcentral is "long non-coding RNA (BNAP_LNC011235)". Lineage: Eukaryota; Viridiplantae; Streptophyta; Magnoliopsida; Brassicales; Brassicaceae. The record is from RNAcentral.
CAUUUCAUUCCAUUCGUUAAACACACAACUGAACUUGCAAUCAACUUAUUCCAUUCUUAUUCAGACGCCACCCAUUCUUGGUGCCACACAACUCAACUUGCAAUCAGUACACACAUACUUAAUAUUCAUCUAAUCCAGUUCAUAUACCAAAUUUUCUAUUAACCUACUCGUUCAAUUCUUCUAGCAACCUAACUCAUACAUAACAUUCAUCAGUCAUCACAAAAAGUCAUAGUGAUCAAUCAUUCAAUCAAUCAGUCAUUCAUAUCAAUCACCCAAUUCACAUC